RNAcentral lists this ribosomal RNA (478 nucleotides) under uncultured bacterium. RNAcentral describes it as "bacterial SSU rRNA". It matches the Rfam family "Bacterial small subunit ribosomal RNA", at positions 29 to 478 of the family's 1533-position model. The record is from RNAcentral.
AACGAACGCUGGCGGCGUGGAUAAGACAUGCAAGUCGAACGCUAAUUUCGGGGUAGCAAUAUUCCGGAGUUGGAGUGGCGAAAGGGUGCGUAACAUGUGGGUAAUCUGCCGUGAAGUUUGGGAUAACUUGCUGAAAGGCGAGCUAAUACCGGAUGUAAUCGCUGGGAGGUAUCUUUUGGCGAUUAAAGUUGGGGACCGCAAGGCCUGACGCUUCAUGAUGAGCCCGCAUCCUAUCAGCUAGUUGGUGAGGUAACGGCUCACCAAGGCUAAGACGGGUAGCUGGUCUGAGAGGACGACCAGCCACACUGGAACUGAGACACGGUCCAGACACCUACGGGUGGCAGCAGUCGAGAAUUUUUCACAAUGGGCGAAAGCCUGAUGGAGCGACGCCGCGUGGGGGAUGAAGGGCUUCGGUCCCGUAAACCCCUGUCAUUUGCGAACAAACCUUUCUACCUAACACGUAGAGAGCUGAUUGUAG